RNAcentral lists this ribosomal RNA (459 nucleotides) under Klebsiella variicola. RNAcentral describes it as "bacterial SSU rRNA". It matches the Rfam family "Bacterial small subunit ribosomal RNA", at positions 534 to 992 of the family's 1533-position model. The record is from RNAcentral. Lineage: Bacteria; Pseudomonadati; Pseudomonadota; Gammaproteobacteria; Enterobacterales; Enterobacteriaceae.
GCAAGCGUUAAUCGGAAUUACUGGGCGUAAAGCGCACGCAGGCGGUCUGUCAAGUCGGAUGUGAAAUCCCCGGGCUCAACCUGGGAACUGCAUUCGAAACUGGCAGGCUAGAGUCUUGUAGAGGGGGGGAGAAUUCCAGGUGUAGCGGUGAAAUGCGUAGAGAUCUGGAGGAAUACCGGUGGCGAAGGCGGCCCCCUGGACAAAGACUGACGCUCAGGUGCGAAAGCGUGGGGAGCAAACAGGAUUAGAUACCCUGGUAGUCCACGCUGUAAACGAUGUCGAUUUGGAGGUUGUGCCCUUGAGGCGUGGCUUCCGGAGCUAACGCGUUAAAUCGACCGCCUGGGGAGUACGGCCGCAAGGUUAAAACUCAAAUGAAUUGACGGGGGCCCGCACAAGCGGUGGAGCAUGUGGUUUAAUUCGAUGCAACGCGAAGAACCUUACCUGGUCUUGACAUCCACA